AAGUUUGUGCUUAAGAAGAGUUGCUUCAUAUUCAGCAUUGUCAUUUAGAUGAGUUGCAAUAAUAAGUCCAAAAAGUUCACUCAAGGGUUUUGAUGCUGCUGUGUGACAGAUUUGAGAUCUCUUCAAUUUACCUGCACGUUAUUUUCUUUCUUGAACAAUAUAUUUGUCACGAAUUUUGGAAUCUGAAACCUUUGUACAGUCUAGACUUGAGCUAUUGGU
Molecule: unclassified non-coding RNA, 219 nt
Filed under: Hevea brasiliensis (rubber tree)
Lineage: Eukaryota; Viridiplantae; Streptophyta; Magnoliopsida; Malpighiales; Euphorbiaceae
Source: RNAcentral